AACUUUCAGCAACGGAUCUCUUGGCUCUCGCAUCGAUGAAGAACGCAGCGAAAUGCGAUAAGUAAUGUGAAUUGCAGAAUUCAGUGAAUCAUCGAAUCUUUGAACGCACCUUGCGCCCCUUGGACAUUCCGAGGGGCAUGCCUGUUUGAGUAUC
Molecule: ribosomal RNA, 154 nt
Filed under: uncultured Thelephoraceae
Lineage: Eukaryota; Fungi; Basidiomycota; Agaricomycetes; Thelephorales; Thelephoraceae
Description: 5.8S ribosomal RNA
Rfam family: 5.8S ribosomal RNA
About the family: 5.8S ribosomal RNA (5.8S rRNA) is a component of the large subunit of the eukaryotic ribosome. It is transcribed by RNA polymerase I as part of the 45S precursor that also contains 18S and 28S rRNA.
Source: RNAcentral